GAUGAACGCUGGCGGCGUGCCUAAUACAUGCAAGUCGAGCGAACAGACGAGGAGCUUGCUCCUCUGACGUUAGCGGCGGACGGGUGAGUAACACGUGGAUAACCUACCUAUAAGACUGGGAUAACUUCGGGAAGCCGGAGCUAAUACCGGAUAAUAUAUUGAACCGCAUGGUUCAAUAGUGAAAGACGGUUUUGCUGUCACUUAUAGAUGGAUCCGCGCCGCAUUAGCUAGUUGGUAAGGUAACGGCUUACCAAGGCAACGAUGCGUAGCCGACCUGAGAGGGUGAUCGGCCACACUGGAACUGAGACACGGUCCAGACUCCUACGGGAGGCAGCAGUAGGGAAUCUUCCGCAAUGGGCGAAAGCCUGACGGAGCAACGCCGCGUGAGUGAUGAGGGUCUUCGGAUCGUAAAACUCUGUUAUUAGGGAAGAACAAAUGUGUAAGUAACUAUGCACGUCUUGACGGUACCUAAUCAGAAAGCCACGGCUAACUACGUG
This 497-nucleotide ribosomal RNA is filed under the name uncultured bacterium. RNAcentral describes it as "partial 16S ribosomal RNA". It matches the Rfam family "Bacterial small subunit ribosomal RNA", at positions 28 to 507 of the family's 1533-position model. The record is from RNAcentral.